RNAcentral lists this ribosomal RNA (403 nucleotides) under bacterium. Its description in RNAcentral is "partial 16S ribosomal RNA". It matches the Rfam family "Bacterial small subunit ribosomal RNA", at positions 355 to 776 of the family's 1533-position model. The record is from RNAcentral. RNAcentral also lists the same sequence under 2 other names.
UGGGGAAUAUUGCACAAUGGGGGAAACCCUGAUGCAGCGACGCCGCGUGAGCGAAGAAGGCUUUCGAGUCGUAAAGCUCUGUCCUAUGAGAAGAUAAUGACGGUAUCAUAGGAGGAAGCCCUGGCUAAAUACGUGCCAGCAGCCGCGGUAAUACGUAUGGGGCGAGCGUUGUCCGGAAUUAUUGGGCGUAAAGGGUACGUAGGCGGUUUUUUAAGUCAGGUGUCAAAGCGUGGAGCUUAACUCCAUUAAGCACUUGAAACUGAAAGACUUGAGUGAAGGAGAGGAAAGUGGAAUUCCUAGUGUAGCGGUGAAAUGCGUAGAUAUUAGGAGGAAUACCGGUGGCGAAGGCGACUUUCUGGACUUUUACUGACGCUCAGGUACGAAAGCGUGGGGAGCAAACAGG